This 262-nucleotide ribosomal RNA is filed under the name uncultured bacterium. Its description in RNAcentral is "partial 23S ribosomal RNA". It matches the Rfam family "Bacterial large subunit ribosomal RNA", at positions 1147 to 1422 of the family's 2925-position model. The record is from RNAcentral.
GGUCGAGAGGUCCUGCGCCGAAAUGUCCGGGCUGAACGCGCCACCGAAACUAAGGAACCGAAAGGUUGGUAGAGGAGCAUUGCAUGCGGGAAGAAGCAGUACCGAAAGGAGCUGUGGACUGCAUGGAAGAGAGAAUGCCGGAAUGAGUAGCGAGAAUAAGGUGAGAAUCCUUAUGGCCGAAUAUCCAAGGUUUCCAGAGUAAAGCUGAUCUGCUCUGGGUAAGUCGGGGCCUAAGGCGAGGACGAGAGUCGUAGCCGAUGGA